This is a long non-coding RNA of Raphanus sativus (radish), 890 nucleotides long. RefSeq lists it as uncharacterized. The transcript is spliced from 3 exons. The record is from RefSeq and is a predicted model, not a curated record. Lineage: Eukaryota; Viridiplantae; Streptophyta; Magnoliopsida; Brassicales; Brassicaceae.
UAGAGUUUCGAAAGCGUUCUUUCAUCUUCUUCCUAAAAAUCAGAGAAAGUUGAUUUAAUCCUGCAUACCGUUUCAUAAUCUCUGACUCGAUUCUUAGUUCUCAGAGUUUUAGAGAUUCUAAGUUUUUCGCUUCUUAAAUUUUUGUGUUCAAAAAAAAAAAUUGUUUUUACAGAGAAUUUGAAGGUGGAAGGGUAAAUUAAGAGGAGGAUCAUCGGGAGUAAAAGCAAACAAGAUCAUGAUUGUUAUCCUUCUCUUCUCUCUCCUCUUUGUUAUAAGGAUCAAAAUACAAAUCAUCAUCAUCGUUGAUCCUCCUCUUAAAUUCACACAUAGCUGAGCUUUUCUUUUUCAAAUAAAGCAACAACUGAUUUUCUUUGUGCAGGUAACGAUGUUCGAGAAUAGGUAUCCGUUCAGAGGAUCUUCUUCCGCCGGCAAAUACUCUUCGCCACCGCCGCCACAGACUGUCAAUGUGGCACACCUAAGAGUCGGAUCUUAUUACGAAAUCGAUCACUCUGUUCUCCCUCUCAGAGUCUCAGAUCGCCACAGCAACCCAAGUCCAUCUGAAUCGUCAUGGUGAGCAAAAUCACUAGAAGCGAUUAACUCUCCUGGUGGAGAAUGUAUAUGUGUAAUAAUAAAUGUUUUUCCUGGUGGAGUACUGAAUCAUUAACUCUCCAAGCAGGAAUCUAUGUAUAUAUGAGUUACUUUUGUCCAGGAAAGAGAAAGCGUGCCUUAAGGUUUAUGGUUUGUAUUUUUUUGGUUAUUCUCGGGAUUUAAUGGUUUUUGGUUUUCUCAAUUUACAGCGAGAGAAAGGUUAGCUUUUUACUUGAUACGGAGGACACUAUUGCUGAAUACGAGAAUAAUGCAAAGGCGAAAAGAACAGAAAAACUGGAGAA